Molecule: microRNA precursor, 186 nt
Filed under: Oryza brachyantha (malo sina)
Lineage: Eukaryota; Viridiplantae; Streptophyta; Magnoliopsida; Poales; Poaceae
Description: MIR812 microRNA precursor family
Rfam family: MIR812 microRNA precursor family
Source: Rfam by way of RNAcentral
AAUAAACCAAUUUUUCAUUUUUUAUCUAUAAUAUUUGACUUUUUGUCUUAUUUAAAUUUUCUAUUGAUAUUUUGUUUUUAUUAGAUGAUAAAUCAUGAAUAUUAUUUUACGUGUGACUAAUUUUUUCUAAUUUUUUGAAAAAAUUUUAAAUAAGACGGAUGGUUAAACGCUGGGCACAAAAACCGA